RNAcentral lists this ribosomal RNA (504 nucleotides) under Microbacterium sp. HhOS4. RNAcentral describes it as "bacterial SSU rRNA". It matches the Rfam family "Bacterial small subunit ribosomal RNA", at positions 462 to 962 of the family's 1533-position model. The record is from RNAcentral. Lineage: Bacteria; Bacillati; Actinomycetota; Actinomycetes; Micrococcales; Microbacteriaceae.
AGCUAAAGUGACGGUACCUGCAGAAAAAGCACCGGCUAACUACGUGCCAGCAGCCGCGGUAAUACGUAGGGUGCAAGCGUUGUCCGGAAUUAUUGGGCGUAAAGAGCUCGUAGGCGGUUUGUCGCGUCUGCUGUGAAAACCCCGAGGCUCAACCUCGGGCCUGCAGUGGGUACGGGCAGACUAGAGUGCGGUAGGGGAGAUUGGAAUUCCUGGUGUAGCGGUGGAAUGCGCAGAUAUCAGGAGGAACACCGAUGGCGAAGGCAGAUCUCUGGGCCGUUACUGACGCUGAGGAGCGAAAGGGUGGGGAGCAAACAGGCUUAGAUACCCUGGUAGUCCACCCCGUAAACGUUGGGAACUAGAUGUGGGGACCAUUCCACGGUCUCCGUGUCGUCACUAACGCAUUAAGUUCCCCGCCUGGGGAGUACGGCCGCAAGGCUAAAACUCAAAGGAAUUGACGGGGGCCCGCACAAGCGGCGGAGCAUGCGGAUUAAUUCGAUGCAACGC